Molecule: ribosomal RNA, 482 nt
Filed under: uncultured bacterium
Lineage: Bacteria
Description: partial 16S ribosomal RNA
Rfam family: Bacterial small subunit ribosomal RNA
Source: RNAcentral
GAUGAACGCUGGCGGCGUGCCUAAUACAUGCAAGUCGAGCGAACCAUUUCGGUGGUGAGCGGCGAACGGGUGAGUAACACGUAGGUAAUCUACCUAUUAGACGGGGACAACGACUGGAAACGGUCGCUAAUACCGGAUAGGACGAACGUGUAAAGAUGCUUCGGAAUCACUCAUGCAUGAGCCUGCGGGGCAUUAGCUAGUUGGAGAGGUAAGAGCUCCCCAAGGCGACGAUGCGUAGCCGACCUGAGAGGGUGAACGGCCACACCGGGACUGAGACACGGCCCAGACUCCUACGGGAGGCAGCAGAAGGGAAUCUUCGGCAAUGGACGAAAGUCUGACCGAGCAACGCCGCGUGAAUGAAGAAGGCCUUCGGGUUGUAAAAUUCUGUUAUAAGGGAAGAAAGACGUGAGUAGGAAAUGGCUCACGCGUGACGGUACCUUAUGAGAAAGCCACGGCUAACUACGUGCCAGCAGCCGCAGUAA